Molecule: ribosomal RNA, 769 nt
Filed under: uncultured bacterium
Lineage: Bacteria
Description: bacterial SSU rRNA
Rfam family: Bacterial small subunit ribosomal RNA
Source: RNAcentral
GACCGGCGCAAGGGUGCGUAACGCGUGAGCAACAUGCCCGUAUCAGGGGGAUAAUCCAGGGAAACUUGGUCUAAUACCGCAUAAUGAUCUUUUAAGGCAUCUUGAAGGAUUUAAAAUUUCGAUGGAUACGGAUUGGCUCGCGUGACAUUAGCUGGAUGGUAGGGUAACGGCCUACCAUGGCUACGAUGUCUAGGGGUUCUGAGAGGAAGGUCCCCCACACUGGAACUGAGACACGGUCCAGACUCCUACGGGAGGCAGCAGUGAGGAAUAUUGGACAAUGGAUGGAAAUCUGAUCCAGCCAUGCCGCGUGCAGGAAGACGGCCCUAUGGGUUGUAAACUGCUUUUGUAUGGGAGCAAUAAGGGUUACGUGUAGCCCGAUGAGAGUACCAUACGAAUAAGGACCGGCUAACUCCGUGCCAGCAGCCGCGGUAAUACGGAGGGUCCGAGCGUUAUCCGGAUUUAUUGGGUUUAAAGGGUGCGUAGGCGGUUUUAUAAGUCAGCGGUGAAAUUUUCCGGCUCAACCGGGAUACUGCCGUUGAUACUGUAAGGCUAGGAUAUGGUUGCUGUGGGUGGAAUGUGUGGUGUAGCGGUGAAAUGCUUAGAGAUCACACAGAAUAUCGAUUGCGAAGGCAGCUCACAAAGCCAUUAUUGACGCUGAGGCACGAAAGUGUGGGGAUCAAACAGGAUUAGAUACCCUGGUAGUCCACACUGUAAACGAUGAUAACUCGCUGUCGGCGAUAUAAAGUCGGUGGCCAAGCGAAAGCGAUAA